AAGUCGUAACAAGGUUUCCGUAGGUGAACCUGCGGAAGGAUCAUUAAAAAUCAAUUUGACAUGACAUGUUGAACGUGUGCGUGCACACACUGAAAUAACGAGUGCAAUAAAAUGGAAUGAAAGAAACGAACGAUAUAUUUUUACUUUUAACAAUGGAUCUCUAGGCUCUU
Molecule: unclassified non-coding RNA, 170 nt
Filed under: fungal sp.
Lineage: Eukaryota; Fungi
Description: partial internal transcribed spacer region
Rfam family: Eukaryotic small subunit ribosomal RNA (bases 1-46)
Source: RNAcentral